CCUACGGGUGGCAGCAGUGGGGAAUAUUGGGCAAUGGGCGCAAGCCUGACCCAGCAACGCCGCGUGAAGGAAGAAGGCUUUCGGGUUGUAAACUUCUUUUGACAGGGAAGAGUAGAAGACGGUACCUGUCGAAUAAGCCACGGCUAACUACGUGCCAGCAGCCGCGGUAAUACGUAGGUGGCAAGCGUUGUCCGGAUUUACUGGGUGUAAAGGGCGUGUAGCCGGGUUGACAAGUCAGAUGUGAAAUCCUGCGGCUUAACCGCAGAACUGCAUUUGAAACUGGCAAACUGGAGUGUGUGAGAGGAUAGUGGAAUUCCAGGUGUAGGAGUGAAAUCCGUAGAUAUCUGGAGGAACAUCAGUGGCGAAGGCGACUAUCUGGCACAUAACUGACGCUGAGGAGCGAAAGCGUGGGUAGCAAACAGGAUUAGAUACCCUUGUAGUC
This 442-nucleotide ribosomal RNA is filed under the name uncultured bacterium. RNAcentral's name for it is "partial 16S ribosomal RNA". It matches the Rfam family "Bacterial small subunit ribosomal RNA", at positions 338 to 795 of the family's 1533-position model. The record is from RNAcentral.